CUCAUACAUUAAUUACAACAAAAUAAGAGGUUACAAGAGUCAAGUACAUUCAUUCAUAAUACAUAUCUAUGAACAUAGGGUUCUCAUACAUUCAACUACUAAAACAAAAUACAACAACUAAGUAGUAUGUAACCUAAAACUACUAAUACAAAAUGAUCAGAUCAGGAAGCAUGGGCAUCGAGCUCAAGAUCAAAAUAACUGAAACAUAAUCAGUCUCGACCUCAACUGAAAGGUCUGGUCCAAGUGGAAGAUGUCAGAG
Molecule: long non-coding RNA, 259 nt
Filed under: Elaeis guineensis (African oil palm)
Lineage: Eukaryota; Viridiplantae; Streptophyta; Magnoliopsida; Arecales; Arecaceae
Description: long non-coding RNA (EGUI_LNC064276)
Source: RNAcentral